This 832-nucleotide non-coding RNA is filed under the name Gossypium arboreum. RNAcentral's name for it is "Eukaryotic large subunit ribosomal RNA". It matches the Rfam family "Eukaryotic large subunit ribosomal RNA", at positions 970 to 1791 of the family's 3401-position model. Lineage: Eukaryota; Viridiplantae; Streptophyta; Magnoliopsida; Malvales; Malvaceae. The record is from Rfam by way of RNAcentral.
ACCUCGGAUUCAUGGUUUUGCAACCACUAUUCCAUUUAGGCCCUAUUUCGAGAUGUUACAGGGUAAAGCCAAUGGUUAGAGGCAUCGGGGGUGCAACACCCUUGAUCUAUUCUUAGACUUUAAAUAGGUAGGAUGGUACGGUUGCUGCAUUGAGCCAUGCCACUGAAUCGAGAGCUCCAAGUGGACCAUUUUUGGUAAGUAGAACUGGCGAUGCGGGAUGAACUGGAAGCCAGGUUACGGUGUCCAAUUGCGCGCUAACCUAGAACCUACAAAGAGAGUUGGUUGGUGGUCAUGGAAGUCGAAAUCUAUUAAGGAGUGUGUAACAACUCACCUGCUGAAUCAACUAGCCUCGAAAAUGGAUGACGCUUAAGCACGUGACCUAUACCCGAUUGUUAGGGCAAGGGCCAGGCCUCGAUUAGUAGAAGGGUGUGGUGGUAGCUGCAAAACCUGGGGCGCGAGCCCGGGCAGAGCGACCGUCGAUGCAGAUCUUGGUGGUAGUAGCAAAUAUUCAAAUGAGAACUUUGAAGACCGAAGAGGAGAAAGGUUCCAUAUGAACAACACUUAAACAUAGGUUAGUUGAUCCUAAGAGACAAGGGAAGCCCGUCCAAUAGCACGUUCAGUGCGAGCUUCGAAAGGGAAUCGGGUUAAAAUUCUUGAACAGGGUGGACUGAAGCUUUCUUGAGAAAGUGUUGAUUAAAAUGGGGUUUUCUAGAGUUCGGGUCAAGUAAAUUAUGAAUUGUGUCUGCUCUGUUCAGUAUAGAGUUAAAUGUAAUAUGACUCUUACUGAUGUUAUUAUUUCGGAAAGGGGUCUUCGCCAAGGGGACCCUUUAUC